CCUGUCAAGAUAAGAAUUGGAAGAUAGUCAAAACCCCUACUCGCCAGAACCCAACUCAUCCACCAUGGGAAUUUUUUCUUGGUUCCGUGGAGGCAGCAACAAUAACAAAAAGGAAAAUGCUCCGGUGGAAAAAUCUGGCCCGAAAUCCGAAUCCGUGUCCUCCGAGGUACCGGGCAUGAACGGAGCGAUGGAGGUCCGACGAGCGGCCCUUUCGGCUGAUUUAUCGGUUUUCGAAUUCGGGUCAGUUGCCGCUUCGGCCGACAAGGUUACAGUGAGUGGGUACUGCCCCGUUUCGGACGAGCUAGAGCCCUGCCGUUGGGAGAUCCUGCCUGCGAGUGGCUCGGAUGCACCCCAAUUCCGUGUCGUCUUUUGAGUCGGUUGAUUUGAGAGAGAAUUAUAAUCGAGAGAUUGUACGCUAGCGUUUUUUUUCUUCUAAUCCCUUAAAAAAUGCGGCGAACUUGUUGGAUCGGAAUUAAUGUUAAACGUUCUUGGAGACUUUGCAUCAAUAAUUGCUUUUUUGUUUAUGCACAAUUGCUCAAGGCAUGAUAUAUAGUAGUAUCUCUGUGCACUAUUGUGCUAUAGCAGAUAGGCACGAACAUCAAUGUAUCAUCUUAUGAAAGCAAACACGUAAAUGUGCGAAGGCGUCCUUUGUGAUCGUGUGCUACAAAUUUGAAUGUAUAGAAUCAGGUUGCUGUAUAUUGAAAGUUAGGUUCUAUUUUCUCUAUCUCUAAUAGGUUGGGGCCCUAACUCUUUUUUUAUUAUACAUUAAUGUUUUUCAAUCUUUAGGGAGGCAUUGUAUGAUUGUUUUUGCAUGUACUUCUGCCUUCAAAUUGCUCGGCGGUAUUUGAAAGUGCUCUCUCUCUCAUAUAUCUGUAGUUCUGUUGCUUCUGUUCCUGAGCAGGAUCCUGUUAUUAGUAGGACUUGUAUGAGUGUAUGCAUGCCUGUAUAAAUUGGGUGUGUUAUUAAGGUGUACAGUUCAAGAGAAUAAUUUUUUAUACAUGCCAUUGCUGUUGCCUCUAGUUAUCGGCUUUACAUGCCAGAAAUACGGCCGUGAAAGAGUCUGACUGCAGUCAUUUCACGAGCUCAGAUAUUUCUGGUUAAUUUAAGGCUUUGAGCAUUAAGAGCAUAUUUGAUGAACAUUAUUGGACAUCACUAGAUAGUACACAAUAGACAAAAAUUGUAACUUUCUGUUCUAUCUAAAUAUUAUUUAUUACUGGGAAAUUAACUUUACCAAAUAUUCCAUAGGUGUAUAGAAGGCUUUUUUGGCACUUGGGAUAUGAUAUCUGAUGCUCGGACUAUUCGAAAUGGUCGGAGUAAUCGUGUCGUGUCUAUGGUUAUGGGAUAUGUAUCGGAGCCUCCAAAUUUCAACCGGACACUUUGCCAUUUUUGCUUGCUCUUCUUUUUUCUUUCUUUUCGUGUUCUUUUCUGUUUCUAUUCUCUAUAAACCUAGUGUCGCCUUCGAGAGAAUUGAGAAAGUCGAUGGCACUAGGUUUUCCCUUCCUCUUCUUCUUUCUUUUUUAUUUCCCUCCAUAUAGUGUUACUUAGUGCUCUACUUCAAGUCCUUCAUUUUCUAUUUUAUGUAACAUUUAGUAAUUACCNAGUAGGACUUGUAUGAGUGUAUGCAUGCCUGUAUAAAUUGGGUGUGUUAUUAAGGUGUACAGUUCAAGAGAAUAAUUUUUUAUACAUGCCAUUGCUGUUGCCUCUAGUUAUCGGCUUUACAUGCCAGAAAUACGGCCGUGAAAGAGUCUGACUGCAGUCAUUUCACGAGCUCAGAUAUUUCUGGUUAAUUUAAGGCUUUGAGCAUUAAGAGCAUAUUUGAUGAACAUUAUUGGACAUCACUAGAUAGUACACAAUAGACAAAAAUUGUAACUUCCUGUUCUAUCUUAAUAUUAUUUAUUACUGGCUGGCAAAUUAACUUUACCAAAUAUUCCAUAGGUGUAUAGAAGGCUUUUUUUGGCAUUUGGGAUAUGAUAUUUGAUGCUCGGACUAUUCGAAAUGGUCGGAGUACUUGUGUUGUGUCUAUGGUUAUGGGAUAUGUGUCGGAGCCUCCAAGUUUCGACUGGACACUUUGCCAUUUUUGCUUGCUCUUCUUUUUUCUUUCUUUUCGUGUUCUUUUCUGUUUCUAUUCUAUAUAAACCUAGUGUCGCC
This 2148-nucleotide long non-coding RNA is filed under the name Olea europaea subsp. europaea. Lineage: Eukaryota; Viridiplantae; Streptophyta; Magnoliopsida; Lamiales; Oleaceae. The record is from RNAcentral.